Impatiens glandulifera is the source of this 749-nucleotide long non-coding RNA. RefSeq lists it as uncharacterized. The transcript has 2 exons. NCBI's taxonomy places the organism in Eukaryota, Viridiplantae, Streptophyta, Magnoliopsida, Ericales, Balsaminaceae. The record is from RefSeq and is a predicted model, not a curated record.
UAGUUAUAAUAAUAAAGAUAUAAGUAUAUUGAAUUAUAGGUUUGAACAAUUAAUAGGUAGAUUUAAGAUUGUUGAAUUGUAGGUUAGUGUUUUAUGAAAUUUAUUUAGUAAGUUUUUAAGUGAUUUUGUUUUAUGUUCAAUAUAUGAGUUUUUUAAUGUUUUCAAGUGAUUUAGUUUCAUGUUUAAUAUUUCUAAUUAAUAGGUUAGUGUUUUUUUUAAUUUAUUUAGUAAGAUUUCGAAUGAUUUAGUUUUAUGUUCAAUAUAUAUGAGUUUUUUAUUGUUGUCUAAUUAAUAGGUUAGUGUUUUAUGAAAUUCAUUUAGUAAGUUUCAAGCAAUUAAGUUUUAUGUGCAAUAUAUGAGUUCUUUUAAUGUUGUCAAGUGAUUUCAAUUCAUGCUUAUGUUUCCAAGUGGUUUAGUUUUAUGACCAAUAUAUGAGUUGUAUAAUGUCGUCAAAUGCUAUUGGAGAAUGUACCAUGAUGGGUGUGAUGGGUCUUGGGCUUCAGAAGCUGUUUGGACAAAUAGAUAUGGAUGGAUUGAAACUAGCAUAAUUAGGAGUUAUUUGGAAAUGCCAUUUUGUGAAAAAUUUGGCAUGUUUUUGUUAAUAUUUUUGGUCAUAUUUAUGGAACAAGUACAAGUAGUUGGUGAAUUUCAUUUGCAAAUGUGUUUUGCAAAUUUGUAAUGAAUUUAUGUUGGUGUACUAAGAAUUGAUACAGGAAUCAUUAAUGAAUAUAAGCUGGUUUUGGUUAUUA